UGGCCGGUAGCUCAGCGGUAGAGCGGCUGUUUCACGCACAGCGGGUCGCGGGUUCGAUCCCUGCCCGGCCAACGA
RNAcentral lists this transfer RNA (75 nucleotides) under Actinomadura craniellae. RNAcentral describes it as "Actinomadura sp. LHW63021 tRNA-Val". It matches the Rfam family "tRNA". From Rfam's summary of the family: Transfer RNA (tRNA) molecules are approximately 80 nucleotides in length. Their secondary structure includes four short double-helical elements and three loops (D, anti-codon, and T loops). The record is from RNAcentral. Lineage: Bacteria; Bacillati; Actinomycetota; Actinomycetes; Streptosporangiales; Thermomonosporaceae.